CUACCACUUCCCUGGGGAGCCUGUUCUGAAACUUAACCAGUCUUUUAGUGAAAUUUUUUUCUUAGUUGGUGCCAGAAAGCAUCUACCUGGAAACACUCAGACACUGGUAAUAGUAUAUGGAUCCUGUUGGAGAUAGAGUAUCAUACAAGUAUUGGAUGAAUAGCAAACAGCCUUGCUGAUUGAGUAUCUCAGCCCAGACAAUGGGCUCCUGCCUCCAGGAGUGUGCGACUGAAAUAAAUCCACUGACUUGAGCAGCCCUGCUCCAUCGCAACCGAGAGCCGAAGCUGG
RNAcentral lists this long non-coding RNA (288 nucleotides) under Corvus moneduloides (New Caledonian crow). RNAcentral's name for it is "lncRNA (ENSCMUG00000010506.2)". Lineage: Eukaryota; Metazoa; Chordata; Aves; Passeriformes; Corvidae. The record is from RNAcentral.